UACGUAGGGGGCUAGCGUUGUCCGGAUUUAUUGGGCGUAAAGAGCGUGUAGGCGGCCAGGUAGGUCUGCUGUGAAAACUCGAGGCUUAACCUCGAGAUGUCGGCGGAAACCAUCUGGCUAGAGUCCGGAAGAGGAGAGUGGAAUUCCUGGUGUAGCGGUGAAAUGCGCAGAUAUCGGGAAGAACACCCAUGGCGAAGGCAGCUCUCUGGGACGGUACUGACGCUGAGACGCGAAAGCGUGGGGAGCGAACAGG
This 253-nucleotide ribosomal RNA is filed under the name uncultured bacterium. Its description in RNAcentral is "partial 16S ribosomal RNA". It matches the Rfam family "Bacterial small subunit ribosomal RNA", at positions 524 to 776 of the family's 1533-position model. The record is from RNAcentral.